This 253-nucleotide ribosomal RNA is filed under the name uncultured bacterium. RNAcentral's name for it is "partial 16S ribosomal RNA". It matches the Rfam family "Bacterial small subunit ribosomal RNA", at positions 524 to 776 of the family's 1533-position model. The record is from RNAcentral.
UACGGGGGGGGCAAGCGUUGUUCGGAAUUACUGGGCGUAAAGGGCGCGUAGGCGGCCUGCUAAGUCGGAUGUGAAAUCCCUCGGCUCAACCUAGGAACUGCGUCUGAUACUGGAUGGCUUGAAUCCGGGAGAGGGAUGCAGAAUUCCAGGUGUAGCGGUGAAAUGCGUAGAUAUCUGGAGGAAUACCGGUGGCGAAGGCGGCAUCCUGGACCGGCAUUGACGCUGAGGAGCGAAAGCCAGGGGAGCAAACGGG